Molecule: ribosomal RNA, 373 nt
Filed under: uncultured Bacteroidota bacterium
Lineage: Bacteria; Pseudomonadati; Bacteroidota
Description: bacterial SSU rRNA
Rfam family: Bacterial small subunit ribosomal RNA
Source: RNAcentral
UAAUACGGAGGAUCCAAGCGUUAUCCGGAAUCAUUGGGUUUAAAGGGUCCGUAGGUGGAUGAUUAAGUCAGAGGUGAAAUCCUGCAGCUCAACUGUAGAAUUGCCUUUGAAACUGGUUAUCCUGAGUCAUUAUGAAGUGGUUAGAAUGUGUAGUGUAGCGGUGAAAUGCAUAGAUAUUACACGGAAUACCGAUUGCGAAGGCAGAUCACUAAUAAUGUACUGACACUGAUGGACGAAAGCGUGGGUAGCGAACAGGAUUAGAUACCCUGGUAGUCCACGCCGUAAACGAUGGAUACUAGCUGUUCGGAUUUAGGUCUGAGUGGCUAAGCGAAAGUGAUAAGUAUCCCACCUGGGGAGUACGUUCGCAAGAAUG